Molecule: ribosomal RNA, 425 nt
Filed under: uncultured bacterium
Lineage: Bacteria
Description: bacterial SSU rRNA
Rfam family: Bacterial small subunit ribosomal RNA
Source: RNAcentral
AGACUCCUACGGGAGGCAGCAGUGAGGAAUAUUGCGCAAUGGGGGAAACCCUGACGCAGCAACGCCGCGUGUGGGAAGAAGGCCUUCGGGUCGUAAACCACUUUUGCACGGGACGAAAAAGGGAUAUCGAACAAAUAUCCCCGAUGACGGUACCGUGAGAAUAAGCCACGGCUAACUCUGUGCCAGCAGCCGCGGUAAGACAGAGGUGGCAAGCGUUGUUCGGAAUUACUGGGCGUAAAGAGUCUGUAGGUGGUUUGUCAAGUCUUUGGUGAAAGGCCGUAGCUUAACUAUGGGAAUGCCAAAGAGACUGGCAGGCUGGAGGCUGGGAGAGGGAAGCGGAAUUUCUGGUGUAGCGGUGAAAUGCGUAGAUAUCAGAAGGAAGGCCGGUGGCGAAGGCGGCUUCCUGGAACAGUCCUGACACUGAG